This 601-nucleotide ribosomal RNA is filed under the name uncultured bacterium. RNAcentral describes it as "bacterial SSU rRNA". It matches the Rfam family "Bacterial small subunit ribosomal RNA", at positions 338 to 951 of the family's 1533-position model. The record is from RNAcentral.
CCUACGGGAGGCAGCAGUGGGGAAUCUUGCGCAAUGGGCGAAAGCCUGACGCAGCAACGCCGCGUGCGGGAAGAAGGCCCUAGGGUUGUAAACCGCUUUCAGUAGGAACGAAAAUGACGGUACCUGCAGAAGAAGGUGCGGCCAACUACGUGCCAGCAGCCGCGGUGACACGUAGGCACCAAGCGUUGUCCGGAUUUAUUGGGCGUAAAGAGCUCGUAGGCGGUUCAGUAAGUCGGGUGUGAAAACUCUGGGCUUAACCCAGAGCCGCCACUCGAUACUGCUGUGACUUGAGUUCGGUAGGGGAGCAGGGAAUUCCUAGUGUAGCGGUGAAAUGCGCAGAUAUUAGGAGGAACACCGGUGGCGAAGGCGCUGCUCUGGGCCGAUACUGACGCUGAGGAGCGAAAGCGUGGGUAGCAAACAGGAUUAGAUACCCUGGUAGUCCACGCCGUAAACGUUGGGCACUAGGUGUGGGUUCCAACCAACGGAAUCCGCGCCGUCGCUAACGCAUUAAGUGCCCCGCCUGGGGAGUACGGCGGCAACGCUAAAACUCAAAUGAAUUGACGGCUGAGACGNGCCGAACGGACGACGACGAGGGAGUAGG